Transfer RNA from Schizopora paradoxa, 92 nucleotides. It matches the Rfam family "tRNA". Rfam says of the family: Transfer RNA (tRNA) molecules are approximately 80 nucleotides in length. The record is from Rfam. Lineage: Eukaryota; Fungi; Basidiomycota; Agaricomycetes; Hymenochaetales; Schizoporaceae.
CUCUGGAUAGCUCAGUUGGAAGAGCGCGAGACUGUAAUUUGAAACAAUUGCUCAUUAUCUUGAGGUCACGCGUUCGAUCCGCGUUCCGGAGA